GUUGGUUUCACAUGUCCAUCUCCGGAGAAAGACCAUAUCACCACUUCCUUAUGUGUCUAACCUCUAAUUUUGAUUAGGUGAAGACCACUCUCAAGGAUCUAUGGAGAUGAGAUUUGAGAGGAGUGACGACCCUCUGGAGAAAAUAACCACAAGUGAGCAAAUCGAAAGUAUAGCUGAGUUAUAUACGUCUCAAGGGGAACCUGUAACUGUUCGAUCUUUCUGACCAAUUCAUGCUAAGAUACUCGCCACGGUGUUUCUGAAAAACUAUAAGAUAAUUUACUGCCACAUCAAUCAUAUUCAUUGAUGAGAUAGAUGCAAUUACUUCCAAGCGAGAAAACCUGCAAAGAGAGAUGGAACGGCGGAUAGUAACACAACAUAUGACUUGCAUGGAUGAAUCACAUCACACUCAGUCUUCUGAUGAUUCCCAAAAACAUCAGAGAAGAAGCUUGGUUAUGUUCUUGUUAUCGGAGCAACAAACAAACCAGAUGCACUUGACCAAGCUUUAAGGAGACCUGGACGGUUUGAUCGUGAGAUUUCUUUGGGUGUACCUGAUGAAAAAACCACUGCUAGAGAUCCUCUCAGUUCUUACUCGAUAAUGUAAAUGUGUGUUUUGGAGAGAGUGGAGUCAAUGAGAUAUAGUUUUAUAUAAUAAUUAUGUCCUUUUGAAGUUUUAAGUGUUUCAUAAAAUUUCAAACUGAGUAUUGCAUGAUUGCAAGGUUAGGUGAUCAA
This is a long non-coding RNA of Asparagus officinalis (garden asparagus), 729 nucleotides long. RefSeq lists it as uncharacterized. The record is from RefSeq and is a predicted model, not a curated record. Lineage: Eukaryota; Viridiplantae; Streptophyta; Magnoliopsida; Asparagales; Asparagaceae. The transcript has 3 exons.